GUGCUUAACACAUGCAAGUCGAACGAGGUUUGUAGCAAUACAAAUACUCGUGGCGAACGGGUGCGUAACACGUGGAUAACCUUCCUUCAGGUGGGGAAUAACCCAGUGAAAAUUGGGCUAAUGCCGCAUAACAAGACGGGGGCACAUGCUCUUGUCUUCAAAGGCGCAAGUCGCCGGAAGAGGGAUCCGCGGCCGAUUAGCUUGUUGGCGGGGUAACGGCCACCAAGGCAAGAUCGGUACCGGCUGAAGGAUGGCCGGCACACUGGAACUGAGACACGGUCCA
RNAcentral lists this ribosomal RNA (283 nucleotides) under uncultured bacterium. RNAcentral's name for it is "partial 16S ribosomal RNA". It matches the Rfam family "Bacterial small subunit ribosomal RNA", at positions 44 to 333 of the family's 1533-position model. The record is from RNAcentral.